This 112-nucleotide Y RNA is filed under the name Saimiri boliviensis boliviensis (Bolivian squirrel monkey). RNAcentral's name for it is "Y RNA (ENSSBOG00000003685.1)". It matches the Rfam family "Y RNA". From Rfam's summary of the family: Y RNAs are components of the Ro ribonucleoprotein particle (Ro RNP), in association with Ro60 and La proteins. The record is from Rfam by way of RNAcentral. Lineage: Eukaryota; Metazoa; Chordata; Mammalia; Primates; Cebidae.
GGCUGGUCCAAAGGUAGUGAGUUAUGCCAAUUGAUUGUUCACAGUCAGUUACAGAUCGAACUCCUUGUUCUACUCUUUUCCCCUUCUCACUACUGCACUUGACUACUGUUUA